UUGUCCUACGGGAGGCAGCAGUGGGGAAUAUUGCACAAUGGGGGAAACCCUGAUGCAGCGACGCCGCGUGAGUGAAGAAGUAAUUCGUUAUGUAAAGCUCUAUCAGCAGGGAAGAAAAUGACGGUACCUGAGUAAGAAGCCCCGGCUAACUACGUGCCAGCAGCCGCGGUAAUACGUAGGGGGCAAGCGUUAUCCGGAUUUACUGGGUGUAAAGGGAGCGUAGACGGCAGUGCAAGUCUGGAGUGAAAGGCGGGGGCUCGACACCCGGACUGCUCGGGAAACUGUACGGUCGGUG
Molecule: ribosomal RNA, 295 nt
Filed under: uncultured bacterium
Lineage: Bacteria
Description: partial 16S ribosomal RNA
Rfam family: Bacterial small subunit ribosomal RNA
Source: RNAcentral